UAAUGUAUCGGAACGUGCCCAGUCGUGGGGGAUAACUGCUCGAAAGAGCAGCUAAUUCCGCAUACGACCUGAGGGUGAAAGCGGGGGAUCGCAAGACCUCGCGCGAUUGGAGCGGCCGAUAUCAGAUUAGGUAGUUGGUGAGGUAAAGGCUCACCAAGCCGACGAUCUGUAGCUGGUCUGAGAGGACGACCAGCCACACUGGGACUGAGACACGGCCCAG
This 220-nucleotide ribosomal RNA is filed under the name uncultured bacterium. RNAcentral describes it as "partial 16S ribosomal RNA". It matches the Rfam family "Bacterial small subunit ribosomal RNA", at positions 111 to 334 of the family's 1533-position model. The record is from RNAcentral.